This is a non-coding RNA of Rhizodiscina lignyota, 71 nucleotides long. The record is from the annotation of a GenBank genome assembly. Lineage: Eukaryota; Fungi; Ascomycota; Dothideomycetes; Aulographales; Rhizodiscinaceae.
UGCCUGUUAAUUCAGUGGAAGAAUACUUGGUUUGGGACCAAGUGCCCGGCGUUCGAUUCGCCGACGGGCCC